RNAcentral lists this long non-coding RNA (1028 nucleotides) under Gallus gallus (chicken). Its description in RNAcentral is "lncRNA (ENSGALG00010026716.1)". Lineage: Eukaryota; Metazoa; Chordata; Aves; Galliformes; Phasianidae. The record is from RNAcentral.
ACUGCGGACAGACGGCCUGGGGGGAAUCACAGUGUCGUCCCGAAAGGCUGAGUUUUGCCUGGCUAAUAAUGACGGGGAGCUAGAGAAGAGGGUGAGUGACUUCGGGGCAGCGUCAUUCACCAGUUCUUCCAGGUACUUCAUUUGAUGUUGCCAGUAAAGAGGGAGACUUGCAAUUCGUGGCAGAAACUAGAGAGAGCCCAUUUUCUGACAUAAGCUUAGAAGGAAACUCCUUUGGUGCUGUAAACACAACUGAAAUCCUUUACGUAGCCAAAAAUUUAAGAGAAAAAUCAUUCUCUUAAGACCUGAUAGAGGAAACUUCUGGCAUCCUUGUGUCUCAACUCAGCUUUUCUCUUUCCCAUUUAAAAAUUUAGGAGAGGAGAGAUGUAUGCUAGCAGUGAUAAAAAAAAAAAAAAAAAAAAAAAAAAACCAACAGCCCCAUUAAGAACACCUGCAUAACGUUUGAAACAGACUAUUAGGGUUUCUUCCAAACACGCACGUAAGCUUUGUCCAACAGGAGCUGACUCAGAUACAGUGCACAGUUUACUCACUGCUCCCAGCUGGCUCUUGGCAGACCUUGUCUUGGUUUCAGCACAACUCUUGGAAGACACUGAUACCAAAAUUUGCUACUGGUUCACCUCCCGGAAAGAGGUAGCCAGCUUUUCUGCACUGCUCACAUAGAAGAUGUGUGCUCUGGACUUCUCAUUUGGACUUAAAUAUUGCAUUAAAAGAAAUCAUCAAAAGAAAUCCCUAAAACCUUCAGACUCAUUAUGUGAGGGUGUGUGUUUUUAUUAAGGGUAUGUUAAACUACCCUGUUACUAUUCAAGGAACAACCAAGAUGACAUCUCUUUAAGCUACAUCGAUUCAAACUCUCACAGACCGACACAUAGCACGCAGAGUGCAAAUUAAUAUGGUGAAGGAUGGUGCACACUUAAACCACACUUUGAAACAACACACUGCUCCAGAAGAUGAUCUGCUGAGAACAUUCUCAUCUCGCUUAACUGAAAUUAAUCAAAAUUAAACAAAUUCUC